GUAAAGCUCUUUCAGCCGGGAAGAAAACGCAUGGGUUAAUACCCUGUGUGGAUGACGGUACCGGAAUAAGAAGCACCGGCUAACUACGUGCCAGCAGCCGCGGUAAUACGUAGGGUGCGAGCGUUAAUCGGAAUUACUGGGCGUAAAGCGUGCGCAGGCGGUUUGUUAAGAUAGGCGUGAAAUCCCCGGGCUCAACCUGGGAACUGCGUUUAUGACUGGCAGGCUAGAGUAUGGCAGAGGGGGGUGGAAUUCCACGUGUAGCAGUGAAAUGCGUAGAGAUGUGGAGGAACACCGAUGGCGAAGGCAGCCCCCUGGGCCAAUACUGACGCUCAUGCACGAAAGCGUGGGUAGCAAACAGGAUUAGAUACCCUGGUAGUCCACGCCCUAAACGAUGUCAACUAGGUGUUGGGAGGGUAAAACCUUUUAGUACCGGAGCUAACGCGUGAAGUUGACCGCCUGGGGAGUACGGCCGCAAGGUUAAAACUCAAAGGAAUUGACGGGGAC
Molecule: ribosomal RNA, 504 nt
Filed under: uncultured bacterium
Lineage: Bacteria
Description: bacterial SSU rRNA
Rfam family: Bacterial small subunit ribosomal RNA
Source: RNAcentral